UACGAUGAAGAGUUUGAUCCUGGCUCAGGAUGAACGCUAGCGGCAGGCUUAACACAUGCAAGUCGAGGGGUAUAAGUCUUCGGAUUUAGAGACCGGCGCACGGGUGCGUAACGCGUAUGCAAUCUACCUUUCACAGAGGGAUAGCCCAGAGAAAUUUGGAUUAAUACCUCAUAGUAUACUGAGUUGGCAUCAACAUAGUAUUAAAGUCACAACGGUGAAAGAUGAGCAUGCGUCCCAUUAGCUAGUUGGUAAGGUAACGGCUUACCAAGGCUACGAUGGGUAGGGGUCCUGAGAGGGAGAUCCCCCACACUGGUACUGAGACACGGACCAGACUCC
This 336-nucleotide ribosomal RNA is filed under the name Flavobacterium sp. RNAcentral's name for it is "bacterial SSU rRNA". It matches the Rfam family "Bacterial small subunit ribosomal RNA", at positions 1 to 339 of the family's 1533-position model. The record is from RNAcentral. Lineage: Bacteria; Pseudomonadati; Bacteroidota; Flavobacteriia; Flavobacteriales; Flavobacteriaceae.